UACGUAGGGAGCAAGCGUUGUCCGGAAUCAUUGGGCGUAAAGCGCGCGUAGGCGGCCCUGUAAGUCCGUUGUGAAAGUCAAAGGCUCAACCUUUGAAAGCCGAUGGAUACUGCAGGGCUAGAGUCCGGAAGAGGCGAGUGGAAUUCCUGGUGUAGCGGUGGAAUGCGCAGAUAUCAGGAAGAACACCCGUGGCUAAGGCGGCUCUCUAGUACGGUACUGACGCUGAGACGCGAAAGCGUGGGGAGCGAACAGG
This 253-nucleotide ribosomal RNA is filed under the name uncultured bacterium. RNAcentral's name for it is "partial 16S ribosomal RNA". It matches the Rfam family "Bacterial small subunit ribosomal RNA", at positions 524 to 776 of the family's 1533-position model. The record is from RNAcentral.